AGUGAACGCUGGCGGUAGGCCUAACACAUGCAAGUCGAACGGCAGCACAGUAAGAGCUUGCUCUUACGGGUGGCGAGUGGCGGACGGGUGAGGAAUACAUCGGAAUCUACUUUUUCGUGGGGGAUAACGUAGGGAAACUUACGCUAAUACCUCAUACGACCUACGGGUGAAAGCAGGGGAUCUUCGGACCUUGCGCGAUUGAAUUAGCCGAUGUCGGAUUAGCUAGUUGGCGGGGUAAAGGCCCACCAAGGCGACGAUCCGUAGCUGGUCUGAGAGGAUGAUCAGCCACACUGGAACUGAGACACGGUCCAGACUCCUACGGGAGGCAGCAGUGGGGAAUAUUGGACAAUGGGCGAAAGCCUGAUCCAGCCAUACCGCGUGGGUGAAGAAGGCCUUCGGGUUGUAAAGCCCUUUUGUUGGGAAAGAAAAGCAGCAGGUUAAUACCCCGCUGUUCUGACGGUACCCAAAGAAUAAGCACCGGCUAACUUCGUG
Molecule: ribosomal RNA, 492 nt
Filed under: uncultured bacterium
Lineage: Bacteria
Description: partial 16S ribosomal RNA
Rfam family: Bacterial small subunit ribosomal RNA
Source: RNAcentral